Molecule: transfer RNA, 75 nt
Filed under: Holosporales bacterium
Lineage: Bacteria; Pseudomonadati; Pseudomonadota; Alphaproteobacteria; Holosporales
Description: tRNA-Gly
Rfam family: tRNA
About the family: Transfer RNA (tRNA) molecules are approximately 80 nucleotides in length.
Source: RNAcentral
GCGGGUAUAGCUCAGGGGUAGAGCACAACCUUGCCAAGGUUGGGGUCGAGGGUUCGAAUCCCUUUGCCCGCUCCA